Molecule: ribosomal RNA, 322 nt
Filed under: uncultured eukaryote
Lineage: Eukaryota
Description: partial 18S ribosomal RNA
Rfam family: Eukaryotic small subunit ribosomal RNA
Source: RNAcentral
CCCCUAGAUGUUCUGGGCCGCACGCGCGCUACACUGAACAGUUCAACAAGUCUUAACCUUGGCCGAUAGGUCUGGGUAAUCUUUGAACGCUGUUCGUGAUUGGGAUAGACCUUUGCAAUUAUGGGUCUUCAACGAGGAAUUCCUAGUAAACGCAAGUCAUCAGCUUGCAUUGAUUACGUCCCUGCCCUUUGUACACACCGCCCGUCGCACCUACCGAUUGGAUGAUCCGGUGAGCUAUUCGGACCUUCGCUUCGUCGAUUUUCGGCUUUGUGAGGGAAAGUCUCGCGAACCUUAUCAUCUAGAGGAAGGAGAAGUCGUAACA